This 253-nucleotide ribosomal RNA is filed under the name uncultured bacterium. RNAcentral's name for it is "partial 16S ribosomal RNA". It matches the Rfam family "Bacterial small subunit ribosomal RNA", at positions 526 to 779 of the family's 1533-position model. The record is from RNAcentral.
CAUAUGGGGCAAGCGUUGUUCGGAAUUACUGGGCAUAAAGGGUGCGUAGGUGGUCUGUUAAGUCAGGGGUGAAAUCCCGCGGCCCAACCGUGGAACUGCCUUUGAUACUGGCGGACUUGAGUGCGUGAGGGGUAGGGGAACGAGCAGUGUAGCGGUGAAAUGCGUAGAUAUUGCUCGGAAGGCCAGAGCCGAAGGGGCCCUACUGGUACGUAACUGACACUGAGGCACGAAAGCGUGGGGAGCAAACAGGAUU